GCUCCUAUAGCUCAGUCGGUAGAGCAGCUGCCUUUUAAGCAGACGGUCGCUGGUUCGAUCCCAGCUGGGGGCACAA
This 76-nucleotide transfer RNA is filed under the name Candidatus Tayloriibacteriota bacterium. RNAcentral describes it as "tRNA-Lys". It matches the Rfam family "tRNA". From Rfam's summary of the family: Transfer RNA (tRNA) molecules are approximately 80 nucleotides in length. Their secondary structure includes four short double-helical elements and three loops (D, anti-codon, and T loops). Lineage: Bacteria; Candidatus Tayloriibacteriota. The record is from RNAcentral.